RNAcentral lists this ribosomal RNA (253 nucleotides) under uncultured bacterium. RNAcentral describes it as "partial 16S ribosomal RNA". It matches the Rfam family "Bacterial small subunit ribosomal RNA", at positions 524 to 776 of the family's 1533-position model. The record is from RNAcentral.
UACGUAGGGUGCGAGCGUUAAUCGGAAUUACUGGGCGUAAAGCGUGCGCAGGCGGUUUUGUAAGACAGAUGUGAAAUCCCCGGGCUCAACCUGGGAACUGCGUUUGUGACUGCAAGACUUGAGUGCGGCAGAGGGGGGUAGAAUUCCACGUGUAGCAGUGAAAUGCGUAGAGAUGUGGAGGAAUACCGAUGGCGAAGGCAGCCCCCUGGGUCGACACUGACGCUCAUGCACGAAAGCGUGGGGAGCAAACAGG